This 910-nucleotide ribosomal RNA is filed under the name Bacillus velezensis. RNAcentral describes it as "bacterial SSU rRNA". It matches the Rfam family "Bacterial small subunit ribosomal RNA", at positions 35 to 929 of the family's 1533-position model. Lineage: Bacteria; Bacillati; Bacillota; Bacilli; Caryophanales; Bacillaceae. The record is from RNAcentral.
GCAAUUGGGGGAUCUAUAAUGCAGUCGAGCGGACAGAAGGGAGCUUGCUCCCGGAUGUUAGCGGCGGACGGGUGAGUAACACGUGGGUAACCUGCCUGUAAGACUGGGAUAACUCCGGGAAACCGGAGCUAAUACCGGAUAGUUCCUUGAACCGCAUGGUUCAAGGAUGAAAGACGGUUUCGGCUGUCACUUACAGAUGGACCCGCGGCGCAUUAGCUAGUUGGUGGGGUAAUGGCUCACCAAGGCGACGAUGCGUAGCCGACCUGAGAGGGUGAUCGGCCACACUGGGACUGAGACACGGCCCAGACUCCUACGGGAGGCAGCAGUAGGGAAUCUUCCGCAAUGGACGAAAGUCUGACGGAGCAACGCCGCGUGAGUGAUGAAGGUUUUCGGAUCGUAAAGCUCUGUUGUUAGGGAAGAACAAGUGCGAGAGUAACUGCUCGCACCUUGACGGUACCUAACCAGAAAGCCACGGCUAACUACGUGCCAGCAGCCGCGGUAAUACGUAGGUGGCAAGCGUUGUCCGGAAUUAUUGGGCGUAAAGGGCUCGCAGGCGGUUUCUUAAGUCUGAUGUGAAAGCCCCCGGCUCAACCGGGGAGGGUCAUUGGAAACUGGGAAACUUGAGUGCAGAAGAGGAGAGUGGAAUUCCACGUGUAGCGGUGAAAUGCGUAGAGAUGUGGAGGAACACCAGUGGCGAAGGCGACUCUCUGGUCUGUAACUGACGCUGAGGAGCGAAAGCGUGGGGGAGCGAACAGGAUUAGAUACCCUGGUAGUCCACGCCGUAAACGAUGGAGUGCUAAGUGUUAGGGGGUUCCGCCCCUUAGUGCUGCAGCUAACGCAUUAAGCACUCCGCCUGGGGAGUACGUCCGCAAGACUGAACUUAGAGAGUAUUAUAUUUUGCGCGCGGGAA